RNAcentral lists this ribosomal RNA (115 nucleotides) under Brevundimonas bullata. Lineage: Bacteria; Pseudomonadati; Pseudomonadota; Alphaproteobacteria; Caulobacterales; Caulobacteraceae. The record is from RNAcentral. RNAcentral also lists the same sequence under 31 other names.
CCCCGUGGCUAUGUCGGAGGUUCCACACCCGAUCCCAUUCCGAACUCGGUCGUUAAGCCCUCCAGAGCCAAUGGUACUUCGUCUCAAGGCGCGGGAGAGUAGGUCGCCGCGGGGU